Small nucleolar RNA from Cricetulus griseus (Chinese hamster), 126 nucleotides. The record is from Ensembl. Lineage: Eukaryota; Metazoa; Chordata; Mammalia; Rodentia; Cricetidae.
AAGACUCUUUCACACUCCUCCCUUAGUCAGUGGGGUCAGGAUUGGGUAGCUGGUGUGGAUAGAAAACCCUUGAUUACACCCAUGCCCUGAUACUGUACCAGUGGCCCAUUACUCAAGUGAACAGUG